Molecule: long non-coding RNA, 422 nt
Organism: Gymnodraco acuticeps
Lineage: Eukaryota; Metazoa; Chordata; Actinopteri; Perciformes; Bathydraconidae
Exons: 4
Source: RefSeq, a predicted model, not a curated record
CACGUUUGUCACAGAGACGUUGACUGCAUGGCAGCUUGAGAACUUGAUUGACACAUUUAAAGGCCAUCCACAGACACAAAGAAAGCCCUUGCCGUGGCAUUGGUGUAUGAAUUCCCUUGCCUUUUGGAUGGUACAGGCAGUGGCUAUGGAGCUUGGUACACACCUGGCCGAAAUCACAAACCUGCUACAGGUUUCCUGGAGGAGCGCUUGAGGAACGUCAGGAAGCACAUGAGAAUGCUGAAACGACCACGCCACCAAGAACAACAGAAGGAACAGACCGUCCCCAGUACACCAGAAUAUGAUGUGCCUCCUGAAAAACUUCUAGAAAUGGUUGAAUGGAUGAAGGUCAAUAGGUAUCCAGUAUCCCAAGUUGAGGACUACAUGAAUCAAACAGCUCUACAUAGAGGCAAGGGGAUUUGCAG